This 352-nucleotide long non-coding RNA is filed under the name Brassica rapa (field mustard). RNAcentral describes it as "long non-coding RNA (BRAP_LNC006222)". The record is from RNAcentral. Lineage: Eukaryota; Viridiplantae; Streptophyta; Magnoliopsida; Brassicales; Brassicaceae.
AAUGUAAUUCCAAGAUAUGCAUUCACAACUUGGUUUUAGAUUUAUGAAUCAAGAGUAAUAUUGUCCGUAGCUGAAAACAAAAGUAAGCAUUGCGAUGUGUGGCUUAGCGUCCACAAUGGACUGAAUGAUUUGAUUGGUUCAUUUGAUAAAUUCAUCCAAAAGCUUGUCCAAGCCCUAAAACACCCACCCAGUUGUGGACAAAGAUCACACAAAAAGGAAAAAACGACAGCAGCUUUGAGAUAAUAUAGAACCAAAAUAGAUCCCAAAUAUAGUUUGUAAGCCACAAAGUUUUAAUCAUAAAAACAAAGUAAAGAAAACAAAAUAUCCACAAUGUAAUGACAUACAAAUCAAC